Molecule: non-coding RNA, 2906 nt
Organism: Macaca mulatta (Rhesus monkey)
Lineage: Eukaryota; Metazoa; Chordata; Mammalia; Primates; Cercopithecidae
Source: RefSeq, a predicted model, not a curated record
UGGGCCAAGUUCAGGGCUGGUGCUCUCGUUCAGAUAAAUUUAGCUGGUGGUGCAGAGAUCUGUGAGCUUGCUUUUACAGGACUUUAAUGAUAUAUAAAAGCAGCAUGAAGGGCUCCUGACUGUGGAUUAAUUUGGAGAUGACUUUCUCUGUUGAAGAGUGGCAAGACUCUUGCAAGUUCUUAAAAAUGCACUUGUUUGGUAUGAGAAUGAAAAGCAGUGGCUGAAGAACCAGUCUUCAAUGGGCAAGGCUUCUCUGAUGCCUUGUUUGAGGUACAGUGCGAACCCAUUAGCACUGAACUCAGGACCAGCAACGCUGUAACUCAGGCCUGAAGGAAGCAUUUCUAGCACAUGAAUUUCCUCCGUAAGGCACCUCACAGCCUCUUGUGCCUGGGAACUCUAGCCAGCACUGCAACACGAUGCCUGGGGCCAUUAUAAAUGUGAAAUUACCAAAGAAACCCCACAAAAAUGUGAAAAUCAUGGCACUAAAUAGACCACAAAAAGAAUGCUUAUUUGCAGUAUGAGAACUGGAACCAGAAGUGUCUGUUCUAACAUGUCAUCUGGGAUCCCUUGGAAUCUUCAUGUACAGAACCGGUUGCUGCCUCAUUGAGUUGGUGGGGACAGAAUAGCUCCUGGUUGGCAGCAUGGGUUGUGCAGAAGGACAGACCCUGCAGACAUCAAUAUCUGGCUUUGAGUGGCACAAAGAAAUAAAGGAAUGUGGAUUCAGACCUCACUGGGAUGCUUGGCAAUUCUAAUUCUACGCCAGACUGCAAAUGGACACAAAACUGUUGCGACUUUUGUUGAAGAGGAGAAGGAUGGUGAAGGUCUCUUUAGUAAAUAAUCUCUGCUGAAAUUGCUUCGGGCAGCACAGAAGCUGGAUUCAGAAGCACACAGGUCUGGGGAUGCAGGCUUCGGCCACCCUGAUGCGAGGAAAGACUGCCAUCUCGUGGUCAGCUCGAUCCUGGCACCUUGGUGAGGGUCCAGGCUGCAGAAAACCGGGCUUGGGGAGGAAAUGGUGCUGCAAACUGGAUUUCUGCGGGACUAUGUGGAUGCCUUUAGAAAACACCCAGAAAAGAGCUGAGUGCCACCCAAGGUAGGCUUCAGUGAAUCCUCUGCAGGUGUGUUGUCAUCCCCUAAGCCAAACACACACUUCACACACACGCUGUAGGCUGCGUGAAAAUGAGGUAGAAAUGUGGGGAAAACAUAAUCCCGUGGAGAGAACAAACAGCUGAACAUGUAAAUGCCUCCGGCAUGCCUGGCAGAGAGAACACUCAGGCUGAGAAAAGGGGACAGUAACUUGUGCCAAAGAUAAGGGAGUAGCCUCUGGGGAAUCAAUCAGCAGGGCGUCUGGUCAACCCCUCAGACAAAGUCAGGUCUGAGCAGGCAAGAUCUAUGGAUCUGAUUUAUUAAUAUUUUCACAAUUAAAAAGAAUCUGAUUGUAAAACUGUUACAUGUGUUGUGAGAAAAAAAGAAAAAACAAACAAUAUAGAAAUGUACAAAGAAGAAAAUGAAAGAUUGGAAGCGUCCUCACCUUAGGGAACCAUUAUUAAUGCUUUAGGUGGCCAGUCUUCCAGACAUCUUGCUACAAAUAUAUCCAAAUGGAAAUUAAAAAUGCACUUUCACAUAAGUGCAAUCAGACCUUGUGCUCUUCUAUCCCAUAGCCUGCUUUUUCAUUCAACACUAUGACAGAAGCAUCUUUCCAGGUCAAUAAACAAAGGCUGGCCUCAUAGUUUUUUUUUUUAAUCAAUUGCAUAAAGCUAAUGGUAUGUAAUAUUGAUUUGAUACCUGCUACAUGCCAGGCGCAUGCAUGAUCUUGCAUAAUCUCAUAACAACUCUACCGAACAGGAGUUUGUAUUAUGCCCAUUAAGCAGAUGAAGAGGCUGUGGCACAAGAAAAUCGAUCAGCAUUGCCAGGGUAUCUGACCUCAGAGCCCAGGCUCUUGACCAGUAGGCUAGAAAUGAAGCAUAAUUUACUUACCAGUUUUCCGUUGAUGGACAUUAAGCUAUUUCCUACUUUUCUGGUAUAAAAAAUAAGAUUGCAGUGAAACUUUAUGGCAUAUACAUCUUUGCACCUUAGUGAGUUCUCUCUAAGUUAAUUUGAAAGUAGUAGGGUGUGGGGUUUGUGGGUCAAAGUGUAUGCUCAAUUUAUGCUUUACUGUGUGCCUGGCUUCCCUCCAGGCAGCAUGUGCCGGCUCACACUCCCACCAGCUGUACAGGAGAAUUUCCAGUGCCCCACGACCUUGCCAAUACUAGGCUUCCUCAUCAGUUUUUUUCUCUCCUUUAUUUUUCUUUAGAAAAAAAAAUAGCCUUUGAAAAAAUUGUAGGAACUAGUGCAAUGUGAGCUUGUAAGUGCUUCACCCAAUGUAGAUCCACCCGGUGUUAACAUUUUGCCACAUCUGUUAGUUUUUAUCAAACUGGAGUUAUCUAUAGACAUCGUAACACUUGAUGACUAAAUACUUCGGCAUGUGUCUCUUAAGAAAAAAAGCACACCCUUACGUAAGCAUAAUAUAAUCAGUACACUUGGGAAUUGCUAAAAUACAAUUUUCUAAUACAAAAUUCAUAUCAAGUCAUUGAAUAAAGACACUUCUUGACUUAAAAUGAGAUUACAUCCCAAUAAACCCAUCAUAAGUUGAAAAAAUGUAAGUAAAAAUGCAUUUAAUACACUGAAUCUGCUGAAUAUUGUAACAGCUUUGCCUACAUUAAAUGUGCUUAGAACACUUACAUUAACCUGCAGUUGGACAAAAUUAUCCAACAGAAAGCCUAUUUUAUAAUAAAGUGUUAGAUAUGUCAUGUAAUGUAUGAAAUACUGUACUGAAAGUGAAAAACAGAAUGGUAUGGAUUCUCACAGUACGGUUUCCACUGAAUGCCUAUCACUUUUGCACCAUUGUAAAACUGAAAAAUUGUAAGUUG